Molecule: non-coding RNA, 72 nt
Organism: Podarcis lilfordi (Lilford's wall lizard)
Lineage: Eukaryota; Metazoa; Chordata; Lepidosauria; Squamata; Lacertidae
Source: the annotation of a GenBank genome assembly
GGGGGAAUAGCUCAGGAGAAGAGCAUCUGCUCUGCAUGCAGAACGUCCCAGGCUCAAUCCCUGACAUCUCUG